RNAcentral lists this transfer RNA (85 nucleotides) under Nitrososphaerales archaeon. RNAcentral describes it as "tRNA-Leu". It matches the Rfam family "tRNA". From Rfam's summary of the family: Transfer RNA (tRNA) molecules are approximately 80 nucleotides in length. Lineage: Archaea; Thermoproteati; Nitrososphaerota; Nitrososphaeria; Nitrososphaerales. The record is from RNAcentral. RNAcentral also lists the same sequence under 1 other name.
GCGGGGGUUGCCUAGCCUGGUCAAAGGCGCGAGGCUUAGAACCUCGUCCCAUAGGGGUUCGUGGGUUCAAAUCCCACCCCCCGCA